This 207-nucleotide ribosomal RNA is filed under the name uncultured bacterium. RNAcentral's name for it is "partial 16S ribosomal RNA". It matches the Rfam family "Bacterial small subunit ribosomal RNA", at positions 568 to 774 of the family's 1533-position model. The record is from RNAcentral.
UGCGUAGGUGGUAUGGCAAGUCAGAAGUGAAAACCCAGGGCUUAACUCUGGGACUGCUUUUGAAACUGUCAGGCUAGAGUGCAGGAGAGGUAAGCGGAAUUCCUAGUGUAGCGGUGAAAUGCGUAGAUAUUAGGAGGAACAUCAGUGGCGAAGGCGGCUUACUGGACUGAAACUGACACUGAGGCACGAAAGCGUGGGGAGCAAACA